This 493-nucleotide ribosomal RNA is filed under the name uncultured bacterium. RNAcentral's name for it is "bacterial SSU rRNA". It matches the Rfam family "Bacterial small subunit ribosomal RNA", at positions 43 to 518 of the family's 1533-position model. The record is from RNAcentral.
CGUGCUUAACACAUGCAAGUCGAACGAAGCACCUCUAAUCGAAGAUUGAGAAAGCUUGCUUUGAUUGAUUCACCUUGAGGUGACUGAGUGGCGGACGGGUGAGUAACGCGUGGGUAACCUACCCUAUACAGGGGGAUAACAGUUGGAAACGACUGCUAAUACCGCAUAAGCGCACAGGACCGCAUGGUCUAGUGUGAAAAACUCCGGUGGUAUAGGAUGGACCCGCGUCUGAUUAGCUAGUUGGUGAGGUAACGGCUCACCAAGGCGACGAUCAGUAGCCGACCUGAGAGGGUGACCGGCCACAUUGGGACUGAGACACGGCCCAAACUCCUACGGGAGGCAGCAGUGGGGAAUAUUGCACAAUGGGCGAAAGCCUGAUGCAGCGACGCCGCGUGAACGAAGAAGUAUUUCGGUAUGUAAAGUUCUAUCAGCAGGGAAGAAAAAUGACGGUACCUGACUAAGAAGCUCCGGCUAAAUACGUGCCAGCCGCUGC